AACGCACCUUGCACUCUUUGGUAUUCCGAAGAGUAUGUCUGUUUGAGUGUCGUGAAACUCUCAACCCCCCUAUUUUGUAAUGAGAUAGGUUUGCGGGCUUGGAUUAUGGUUGCCUGUCGGACCUCUUUAAUGAGCCGGCUCAGCUUAAAUACACGAGCGACCCAAUAUUCAUAUGGAUGUGACGACGGCUUGACUCGGCGUAAUAAUACUAUUCGCUGAGGACGUCGAGACUCCACUGUGCUAUUGACGCUUCUAAUGCGACUUUUGCUAGUCACCUUAAUCUCUAGACCUCAAAUCAGGCAGGACUACCCGCUGAACUUAA
This 322-nucleotide unclassified non-coding RNA is filed under the name uncultured fungus. Its description in RNAcentral is "partial contains 5.8S ribosomal RNA, internal transcribed spacer 2, and large subunit ribosomal RNA". The stretch from base 1 to 52 matches the Rfam family "5.8S ribosomal RNA", at positions 103 to 154 of the family's 154-position model. Lineage: Eukaryota; Fungi. RNAcentral also lists the same sequence under 1 other name. The record is from RNAcentral.